CACGGAGUUAGCCGGUGCUUCUUCUGUUGGUAACGUCAUAAUCUUCCCAACUGAAAGUGCUUUACAACCCGCAGGCCUUCUUCACACACGCGGCAUUGCUGGAUCAGGCUUUCGCCCAUUGUCCAAUAUUCCC
RNAcentral lists this ribosomal RNA (133 nucleotides) under uncultured bacterium. Its description in RNAcentral is "partial 16S ribosomal RNA". The record is from RNAcentral.